GGAGGGUAGCGAGUGUUUAGAAGGGAGAGGAGAGGUGUGCUACAGCUCAGUGUUUUUCCACCGGUGUUUUUGAGGCCAUGUCAGACUAGUCGCUCAGUCAGCAUUAUGACAGGCCUGUUGGUCUCCUUUUUCCAGCAUUAGGAAGCGAGGGGAUUCCGGCAGGAAGGGCAGCGUGAAGAGUUGGAGUAACGCAGUGAAACCAUUGAAACCAAGCAGCCAGGGCCAUCUCUCCUGUGUACCAAGUAACUCACUGCAAGGGCAACAUCAGUGGCAUGCACAAAAACACUACAUGUAUCUAUGACACUGGCCACCUCACCUGAUCCCCAGCAGCUGACCACAGAACUUCCCAAAGGAGAUGAAGGUAGCGACAGUCACAACCACCAUCCCUCGCAGCUUCUUGGGGGCGCAUUCAACAAGCCACCAGCGACCCCAGUAGCCCCCCGAUGCAGAAAAUGGAUACAGUGAAGGACCAGAUGAGAGAAAUCUGCCACUGCUCCAAGGAUACAUUGUAUCUCUGCAGACAUGUUUUGUUCACCAGCUCUUUUAUAAACUGCAAUUAUCACAUGUAGAGAUAGUCUCAUUUUCAUUUUAGUUGUGGCAGCAUAUAAUGUAAGUGUUAUAAAAUUAUUUUUUUAUAGAAGUACCAUACAGUCGUCUUUAUAGCCAAUGUGGAAAUAAUUAAUACAUUUUAUAAUAAACUUGUAUAUGACAUAA
Long non-coding RNA from Micropterus salmoides (largemouth bass), 714 nucleotides. RefSeq lists it as uncharacterized. The record is from RefSeq and is a predicted model, not a curated record. The transcript is spliced from 4 exons. NCBI's taxonomy places the organism in Eukaryota, Metazoa, Chordata, Actinopteri, Centrarchiformes, Centrarchidae.